AUACGGAGGACGCGAGCGUUAUCCGGAUUCAUUGGGUUUAAAGGGUGCGCAGGCGGCCGUGCAAGUCAGCGGUGAAAGCCCGGGGCUCAACCCCGGAAGUGCCGUUGAUACUGCAUGGUUGGAAUGCGGUCGAGGCGGGCGGAACGUGGCGUGUAGCGGGGAAAUGCGUAGAGAUGCCACAGAACGCCGAGAGCGGAGGAAGCUCGCCAGGCCUGCAUUGACGCUCGGGCACGAAAGCGUGGGGAUCGAACAGGAUUAGAUACCCUGGUAGUCCACGCCGUAAACGAUGGGCGCUCGUCGUCGGCGGCAGACAGUCGGCGGCCAAGCGAAAGCGAUAAGCGCCCCACCUGGGGAGUACGGUCGCAAGGCUGAAACUCAAAUGAAUUGACGGGG
This 393-nucleotide ribosomal RNA is filed under the name uncultured bacterium. Its description in RNAcentral is "partial 16S ribosomal RNA". It matches the Rfam family "Bacterial small subunit ribosomal RNA", at positions 523 to 918 of the family's 1533-position model. The record is from RNAcentral.